RNAcentral lists this ribosomal RNA (524 nucleotides) under Klebsiella aerogenes. Its description in RNAcentral is "partial 23S ribosomal RNA". It matches the Rfam family "Bacterial large subunit ribosomal RNA", at positions 1 to 564 of the family's 2925-position model. The record is from RNAcentral. RNAcentral also lists the same sequence under 1 other name. Lineage: Bacteria; Pseudomonadati; Pseudomonadota; Gammaproteobacteria; Enterobacterales; Enterobacteriaceae.
GGUUAAGCGACUAAGCGUACACGGUGGAUGCCCUGGCAGUCAGAGGCGAUGAAGGACGUGCUAAUCUGCGAAAAGCGUCGGUAAGGUGAUAUGAACCGUUAUAACCGGCGAUGUCCGAAUGGGGAAACCCAGUGUGAUUCGUCACACUAUCGUUAACUGAAUACAUAGGUUAACGAGGCGAACCGGGGGAACUGAAACAUCUAAGUACCCCGAGGAAAAGAAAUCAACCGAGAUUCCCCCAGUAGCGGCGAGCGAACGGGGAGCAGCCCAGAGUCUGAAUCAGCUUGUGUGUUAGUGGAACGGUCUGGAAAGUCCGACGGUACAGGGUGAUAGUCCCGUACACCAAAAUGCACAGGUUGUGAACUCGAAGAGUAGGGCGGGACACGUGGUAUCCUGUCUGAAUAUGGGGGGACCAUCCUCCAAGGCUAAAUACUCCUGACUGACCGAUAGUGAACCAGUACCGUGAGGGAAAGGCGAAAAGAACCCCGGCGAGGGGAGUGAAAAAGAACCUGAAACCGUGUACG